RNAcentral lists this ribosomal RNA (534 nucleotides) under uncultured bacterium. Its description in RNAcentral is "partial 16S ribosomal RNA". The record is from RNAcentral.
GUAGUUAGCCGGGGCUUCCUCCUUGGCUACCGUCACUUUCUUCGUCACCAAGGACAGAGGUUUACAACCCGAAGGCCUUCAUCCCUCACGCGGCGUUGCUGGGUCAGGCUUGCGCCCAUUGCCCAAUAUUCCCCACUGCUGCCUCCCGUAGGAGUCUGGACCGUGUCUCAGUUCCAGUGUGGCCGAUCAGCCUCUCAGCUCGGCUACCCAUCGUCGACUUGGUGGGCCGUUACCCCGCCAACUAUCUAAUGGGACGCGAACCCCUCCAAUAGCGGAUUGCUCCUUUGACCUCAUCCUGAUGUCAGGUCGUGGUCUUAUGCGGUAUUAGCAACCGUUUCCGGUUGUUAUCCCCCUCUACUGGGCAGGUUGUUCACGCGUUACUCACCCGUUCGCCACUAAGUUAUCAACCGAAAUCAAUAACUCCGUUACGACUUGCAUGUGUUAGGCACGCCGCCACGCGUCGUCGUCGUACGACACUCGAUACUAACUACUACGUACUACGUACGACGGCGUCGGUCGACGGACGGCGACGUA